GUGAUGUUGUUCCCCUAUAUUAUGCACCAAAUUGCACACAAGGACCAAUUCAAAUCGGCCAGGUCAAGAGGGGAUGUUAAUAAUUUGAUAAUAAUACUAAUAAUUCAGUGUAUUUAAAAAAAAAUGUAAUUACAGCUGCAUAGCUAAAGUGUACAAACACUUUGUUACAAUGUGGAUAAUAUAAAGAUACUGUAUAGGCAUAUAUAAACAAUGUAUUUAACUUGGAAACCAAGGUUGGAUUAGUUGGUCUAAGCAACAUGCACCUGGAUAAUCGGGUCAUGAAUCUGGACGGGCUCCUACAUCCUCAUAUACACAUUAUGACAAAAUAAAGAGUUUAAUGUUUCACGAAAUAAAGACAUAGAAGCAUACCCAAUUAUACAGGUUCUACACAUUCCAUUUCUCCAUGGCAAUAGAAUGUAAACAUUCUAUUUUGCGCCAAACAUCCCUACAACUCAAUUCUAAGUGCAGCAUAUUGGAGGACUCCAGCCAUUGAUCAUUCGCGACUUUAAGUCAUUCCUGUUGUCUCUAGAGCAUCCCGUAUAUCUAUAGCGCUGCAUUUCUUCCCCAUCUUACCAUGGAUAGGGUUUGGUGCAUUCCGGAGUUCACUUAUGGUCCCACAAAGGUAAUCUUAGGAUAAAUUCAUUUUAGCAUACUGUAAAUGCCUGUGCAUAAUGUGCAUAACAAAGCAUCAUUAUUUUCAUUAUUUUCAUUAUCUUCAAAGGAUUUCUGUAGAAGCAGCCUUUAUUUUCAGACUCUGCAGGCCUGCUGGGAGGAAACAUAUUACAAUAAACAGAAGAAGCUCAUGGUCCACUAUCUGCUGCUCCAGAGUCAAGGCCAGGUCCCUCCCCAUGUCACCACGGAGCACAUGAGCAACUGGCUGGUGUCUCAGGGCAAAAAAUCUCUUAGGGAGAGGUGAGUACCACGUCAGCACUCACAUUCACUGCCAUUCCCUGCCACCAGCAGCACUCCAGGAGGUGUGGGUAAAAUAAACAACAGAAAAAUCAGAAGCCAGGAAAGUUGAAUUGCUCUGUGUUUUAUUUGAAGGGUGUGGAAGGAAACCCUGGAGGAAGGAAACGACCUCGCUCGGCUGGUAAGAGAAUGAGAGUUAGAGACAAACUACAAGUUAGUGAGCUCUUUACUAGCCUUUCAACAACGAGUUAGCACAGCAGAAUAGAUCUGUUGUGAAAUUAC
Molecule: long non-coding RNA, 1191 nt
Filed under: Oncorhynchus kisutch (coho salmon)
Lineage: Eukaryota; Metazoa; Chordata; Actinopteri; Salmoniformes; Salmonidae
Description: lncRNA (ENSOKIG00005025272.1)
Source: RNAcentral